GGAAAUGAAAAGAAAUGAUGGCCAAGACUUGGAUUUAUUACUGCUAAAAUUUUUAAAAAUCUAAUUACAAAAUAGUAUAUACUCACUGUGUAAAAAACAGGGUGUGAAAGUAUAAAAAAUAAAAUCACAGUCACCUAUUCUCACACUUCUCAGAGAUAACCACUGUUAACAUUUUAGAUGUGAAAAAGUACACGAGACUAUUAAUUUCGUAUGUGCUUUUAAAAUUUCAUUUCUACAUAGGUUUUAAGUGCCACAGGUGCCGCCCAGAAAUAAAUUGCUUUUAAGUUUAUUCUGAAUCCAGCCACUUUAACAGAGACCAGUAAUUUUAACAUAUUAUGUAAAGGCAAUGAUAAUCUUGACUCUUUCUGGAUCUCAUAUUUAUGUUUCAGGUCUUGUUUCACUGGCUAGAGCUUCAAGAACAAUAGUAUGUUUCUGUUAUGAAAGGGAAUGCCUCUGAUGCUGCAGCUGGGUAUCAUGCAGGCUUUAGGGAGGCCUAAGAUAGAUCUUUAGGGAGGCCUAGAUAGGUAGAGUAAAGGAGUAUAUGUCUGAUCUUAAAUUUUAUAAGGAAUUAUUAGUUCUGCCUUUUAAGUAAUCAUCUGAAUUAUUGACAACAAAUACAUAUUCCUUACCUGGCUCUAAUUUCAAGUUAAAAACAUGUAAAAGAGGACUAAUAUUGUGGACAAAGUUAGUUGGAGGGGUCAAUUACACUUCUUCUCUGUUGAGAGUUCUCUAAAACCAUCACUUCUUAACUUUAAUUAUCAGACUUGUUCUGGGAAAUGACAGGAAAUGACAGGAAAAGAAAGGGCAAUGUACAAAACAAUUUUUUAUUUUUAUCUUGAUAAUGUUUUAAAAAUAUUCACCUAAACUAGGCCUAAUGGUUGGCCAUUUAUGCAGUAAAAAACAAGAAACAGCUGGUAUAAUGGAAAAACCUAAUCUGGGCUCAUCUUCCAGCUUUGUUAUUUGUAAGCUAUUAUUAAUGUCAGGUAAAUUUUACACUUUCAAUUUCUUCAUUUGUGAAAUGAGGAUUGUACUAUCUUAGCUCACAUCAUUUAUGAGAAUUAAAAAAAUAAUGAAUAGAUAACAGAAUAAUAUUAAUAAUUAACCAGUACAUUAUUAAUAAUAAAAUUGUAAAAUAUCUAUUAUAACAGAUAAUAAACAAUAAAUAGAAAUACACUGUUGUCCUUAAAGUCUCUAUACAUAGGAAAAUGGGAAAUUGUAGCUAAGUGUACAUUUAUAAAAUAUUCAUUAUUAAAUUUUACAAAAUAUUUACAAAGCAUUCUCUAUGUAUUGGCUACUUCUUUGUAAAAUUUUAUAGUGAAUAUUUGGUAAAUACAGGUACAUUUAACUACAAUUUCCCACAUUUUCUAUAUAUCUUGACUUUGUGGACACUCUAGAAUGUAUGGAUAAAAGAAAUAAUGUAUAGGGCAGCUAGCAGUGUCUGCCAUAUAGGCACUUUCAAUAACCAAGUCCCUCCUCUCUUAUCCCUGAGUCAAUACACGAGAAAA
Nycticebus coucang (slow loris) is the source of this 1505-nucleotide long non-coding RNA. RefSeq lists it as uncharacterized. Lineage: Eukaryota; Metazoa; Chordata; Mammalia; Primates; Lorisidae. The record is from RefSeq and is a predicted model, not a curated record. The transcript has 2 exons.